RNAcentral lists this ribosomal RNA (275 nucleotides) under uncultured bacterium. RNAcentral describes it as "partial 16S ribosomal RNA". It matches the Rfam family "Bacterial small subunit ribosomal RNA", at positions 523 to 796 of the family's 1533-position model. The record is from RNAcentral.
AUACAGAGGGUGCAAGCGUUAAUCGGAAUUACUGGGCGUAAAGGGUGUGUAGGUGGUUCAAGUAAGUUAGGUGUGAAAUCCCUGGGCUUAACCUGGGAAUGUCGCUUAAAACUGCUUAGCUAGAGUACUAUAGAGGACAGUGGAAUUUCCAGUGUAGCGGUGAAAUGCGUAGAUAUUGGAAGGAACACCAGUGGCGAAGGCGACUGUCUGGAUAGAUACUGACACUGAAACACGAAAGCGUGGGUAGCGAACAGGAUUAGAAACCCCAGUAGUCC